GUCGAACGGAGGCCCUAGCUUGCUAGGUGUCCUUAGUGGCGCACGGGUGAGUAACACGUGGGAACAUACCUUAUAGUACGGAAUAACUGCGGGAAACUGUAGCUAAUACCGUAUAUUCCAGUAAUGGGAAAGAUUUAUCGCUAUAAGAUUGGCCCGCGCAAGAUUAGCUUGUUGGUGAGGUAAAAGCUCACCAAGGCUUCGAUCUUUAGCUGGUUUGAGAGGACGAUCAGCCACACUGGGACUGAGACACGGCCCAGACUCCUACGGGAGGCAGCAGUAGGGAAUAUUGGACAAUGGGGGAAACCCUGAUCCAGCAAUGCAGCGUGAGUGACGAAGGCCUUAGGGUUGUAAAACUCUUUCAUCGGUGAGGAUAAUGACAGUAGCCGAAGAAGAAGGACCGGCUAAUUCCGUGCCAGCAGCCGCGGUAAUACGGAAGGUCCUAGCGUUGUUCGGAAUUACUGGGCGUAAAGCGCAUGUAGGCGGAACAGAAAGUUAGAAGUGAAAUCCCUGGGCUCAACCUAGGAAUUGCUUUUAAAACUACUGUUCUGGAAUUCAGGAGAGGAAAAUGGAAUUUCCAGUGUAGAGGUGAAAUUCGUAGAUAUUGGAAGGGACACCAGUGGCGAAGGCGAUUUUCUGGACUGACAUUGACGCUGAGAUGCGAAGGCAUGGGUAGCAAACGGGAUUAGAUACCCCGGUAGUCCAUGCAGUAAACGAUGGGUGCUAGUCGUCGGACUUUUGUUCGGUGUCGUAGCUAACGCGUUAAGCACCCCGCCUGGGGAGUACGGUCGCAAGAUUAAAACUCAAAUAAAUUGACGGGGACCCGCACAAGCAGUGGAGCAUGUGGUUUAAUUCGACGCAACGCGAAGAACCUUACCAGCGUUUGACAUGGAAAAGUGCCGGUUACAGAAUGGUAACCUUCAGUUCGGCUGGCUUUCGCACAGGUGCUGCAUGGCUGUCGUCAGCUCGUG
RNAcentral lists this ribosomal RNA (968 nucleotides) under uncultured marine bacterium. RNAcentral describes it as "bacterial SSU rRNA". It matches the Rfam family "Bacterial small subunit ribosomal RNA", at positions 61 to 1064 of the family's 1533-position model. The record is from RNAcentral.